UUCCGGUUGAUCCUGCCGGAGGCUACCGCUAUUGGAGUUCGAUUAAGCCAUGCGAGUCGAGAGUCUUAGGGACUCGGCGCACCGCUCAGUAACACGUGGGUAACCUGCCCUAUGCUGGGGAAUAACCUCGGGAAACUGAGAAUAAUGCCCCAUAGCCCACUACGCCUGGAACGGUGAGUGGGUCAAAGCUCCGGCGGCAUAGGAUGGGCCUGCGCCGUAUCAGGUUGUAGGGGGUGUAAAGUACCCUCUAGCCAUCAACGCGUACGGGUGUUGGGAGACAUUGCCCGGAGAUGGAUUCUGAGACACGAAUCCAGACCCUACGGGGUGCAGCAGGCGCGAAAACUUGGCAAUGCGAGCAAUCGUGACCAGGGAACUCCAAGUGCGUAGGGUAAGACCUACGCUUUUCUUGACUCUUCAAAGGUCUUGGAAUAAGGGGUGGGUAAGGACGGUGCCAGCCGCCGCGGUAAUACCGGCGCCUCAAGUGGUAGUCGCUUUUAUUGGGCCUAAAACGUCCGUAGCCGGUCUGGUGCAUUCGUGGGUAAAUCAACCCGCUCAACGGGUUGAAUUCUGCGAGCACGGCCAGACUUGGGACCGGGAGAGGUGUGGGGUACUCUCAGGGUAGGGGUAAAAUCCUGUCAUCCUGAGAGGACCACCUGUUGCGAAGGCGCCACACUAGAACGGAUCCGACGGUCAGGGACGAAACCUAGGGGCACGAACCGGAUUAGAUACCCGGGUAGUCCUAGGUGUAAACGCUGUGGACUUGAUGUUGGGGGCGCUCCGAGCGCUUUCAGUGUCGAAGCGAAGGUGAUAAGUCCACUGCCUGGGGAGUACGGUCGCAAGGCUGAAACUUAAAGGAAUUGGCGGGGGAGCACUGCAACCUGAGGAUUGUGCGGUUUAAUUGGAUUCAACGCCGG
This 914-nucleotide ribosomal RNA is filed under the name uncultured archaeon. RNAcentral's name for it is "bacterial SSU rRNA". It matches the Rfam family "Archaeal small subunit ribosomal RNA", at positions 1 to 921 of the family's 1478-position model. The record is from RNAcentral.